Molecule: ribosomal RNA, 776 nt
Filed under: uncultured eukaryote
Lineage: Eukaryota
Description: SSU rRNA
Rfam family: Eukaryotic small subunit ribosomal RNA
Source: RNAcentral
GGGGCUCCUUGGUGAUUCAUAAUAACUUAACGAAUCGCAUGGCCUUGCGCCGGCGAUGGUUCAUUCAAAUUUCUGCCCUAUCAACUUUCGAUGGUAAGAUAGUGGCUUACCAUGGUCUCAACGGGUAACGGGGAAUUAGGGUUCUAUUCCGGAGAGGGAGCCUGAGAAACGGCUACCACAUCCAAGGAAGGCAGCAGGCGCGCAAAUUACCCAAUCCCAAUUCGGGGAGGUAGUGACAAUAAAUACUGAUACAGGGCUCUUUCGGGUCUUGUAAUUGGAAUGAGUACAAUCUAAAUCCCUUAACGAGGAACAAUUGGAGGGCAAGUCUGGUGCCAGCAGCCGCGGUAAUUCCAGCUCCAAUAGCGUAUAUUAAAGUUGUUGCCGUUAAAAAGCUCGUAGUUGAACCUUGGGUCUGGCUGAUCUGUCCUCCUAAUCGAGCGCACGGAUUCGGUCGGACCUUUCCUUCUGGGGAGCCCCAUGCCCUUCACUGGGCGUGGUGGGGAACCAGGACUUUUACCUUGAAAAAAUUAGAGUGUUCAAAGCAGGCCUUUGCUCGAAUACAUUAGCAUGGAAUAAUAGAAUAGGACAGAGGUUCUAUUUUGUUGGUUUCUAGGACCGCUGUAAUGAUUAAUAGGGAUAGUCGGGGGCGUCCGUAUUCAAUUGUCAGAGGUGAAAUUCUUGGAUUUAUUGAAGACGAACUACUGCGAAAGCAUUCGCCAAGGAUGUUUUCAUUAAUCAGUGAACGAAAGUUAGGGGAUCGAAGACGAUCAGAUACC